AAGUGUAAGUAUCUUAGCAUUGUAAAUUGCUUUGGAGAAAAACAUCAGAUACAUGUAUUUGUAAUGUCUGUUGGUUAGUUAACACUUUAAUCGAAAGCAUCAUAUAGUACUUGCAUCAGUAUUUGACUAGCUAGAGCAAGUAAGGAUACCACUCAUGAGUAGAACUAUAGUGGCCAGAAGGACUUAAAUAACCUUCUGGCAGCAAGUACAUAUCUGCAACCUUGACAUUUAUCGUGACCUCAGCCAUGUAACCCUGACUUACCAGCUAGUUUUUGCUAUGCUGCUGCUCUGGAUUUCUGAUCAAUUAACAGGACAUCAUAUUGUAUACUUGGAGAUCACUUCACUUGAAAAGGGUGAACAAGUGUCUGUUGUACUUUUGGAACAUGACAUCCUGCCAAAUGAAACCCAACCCGUGGGAAUACCAAGACCUGAGUCAGUUAACAGUGUGGCCAUCGGCCUUCAUUACCAUCUCAAUUAUACAAACCCAUGGGAGAAGUUCUGUUUCCAACCUUCUCGAGGACCAUUUUAAACUGAUGAGCAGUUGAAACAUAAGCUAGCGGAGGGCUCGUCAGCUGACACGUCUAUAAAUGAGAGCUCCCAGUCAGUGCGGCCAGAGUCGGAGGAGACCAAGCACUUACUGCAGGACUACGGCCUCUUAUCUUACACUGUUUUACACUUCAAGGUGCAACACGUCAGAUCAUCUGGCAGUGGUAUGCUGCUUUGGAGUUGUGCUUUAACCAGUUUUAUGGCCAAAGAAAACACAAGUGGCAAACACUUCUCCGUGCCUGAAACUUGAGGGAAGAAAACUUUGUGGUGUCUUUUUGGGAAGAAAUCCGUGCCAUUUUGCAGAAUUCCCCCAGGACUCCUCAGUCAUGGCUGGACUCAAACCAAAAGAUUUUGCUCCCACAGCUGCUGUCAAGUUCUUUGGUGCUGGAACAGCGGCUUGCAUUGCUGACCUGGUUACUUUCCCCCUGGAUACAGCCAAAGUGAGGCUUCAAAUCCAAGGGGAAUCCAAAUCUACAGAGAAGAGCAGCGGGGUGCGAUAUCGUGGUGUGUUUGGCACUAUUGCCACCAUGGUGCGGGUGGAGGGACCACGCAGCUUGUACAGUGGCCUGGUGGCUGGGCUCCAGAGGCAGAUGAGCUUUGCCUCAGUCCGCAUCGGGCUCUAUGACUCAAUGAAACAGUUUUACACAUAUGGAUCGGAGAAUGCUGGUGUUGCCAGUCGGCUCAUGGCAGGCUGCACCACUGGGGCAAUGGCCGUGGCUUUUGCACAGCCCACAGAUGUGGUGAAGGUGCGUUUCCAGGCCCAGAUGCGUGGAACCAGUGAGACGAAGAGGUACAAUGGCACUAUGGAUGCCUAUAAGACCAUUGCUCAAGAUGAGGGUGUCAGAGGGCUUUGGAAAGGGUGUACGCCUAACAUAAUCAGAAAUGCCAUUGUGAACUGUUCCGAGUUGGUCACCUAUGACAUCAUCAAGGAACUCAUCCUAAAGUAUGACCUCAUGACAGAUAAUUUGCCCUGCCACUUCACGGCUGCCUUUGGAGCAGGUUUCUGCACCACCAUUGUUGCAUCUCCAGUAGAUGUUGUGAAGACACGUUUCAUGAACUCCUCUGCUGGGGAGUACAACAGCGCCAUCAACUGUGCCUUCACCAUGCUUAAAAAGGAAGGACCAGCAGCCUUCUACAAGGGUUUCAUGCCAUCCUUCCUGAGGUUGGGGUCCUGGAAUAUUGUGAUGUUCGUCUCAUAUGAACAAAUCAAGAGAGCCAUGUCAAGAGCUCAGCAGUCCUGGGAAUCUCCAAUAUGAGCCUAAAUGUUGGGACUAUCAUUCAUGGUUACUCUUGGGGGCUUUCUCAUAACCACUCUGACACCACAGAGGCUUGUGGCAUUUUGUGGAAAAACAUGCAGGGAUGCUGCCUGAAAAGAAAAAAGGACACUUUUACAAUUGAGUGACAAGUAAAGAACCGCUUGUCCCAUAUGGGGUCACGGGGAACCGGA
Scleropages formosus (Asian bonytongue) is the source of this 1993-nucleotide RNA transcript. It is a transcript of the gene named mitochondrial uncoupling protein 2-like, with no coding region annotated. The record is from RefSeq and is a predicted model, not a curated record. NCBI's taxonomy places the organism in Eukaryota, Metazoa, Chordata, Actinopteri, Osteoglossiformes, Osteoglossidae. The transcript is spliced from 10 exons.